This 250-nucleotide ribosomal RNA is filed under the name uncultured bacterium. RNAcentral describes it as "partial 16S ribosomal RNA". It matches the Rfam family "Bacterial small subunit ribosomal RNA", at positions 355 to 597 of the family's 1533-position model. The record is from RNAcentral.
UGGGGAAUAUUGGACAAUGGGCGCAAGCCUGAUCCAGCCAUACCGCGUGGGUGAAGAAGGCCUUCGGGUUGUAAAGCCCUUUUGUUGGGAAAGAAAUCCUGUCGGUUAAUAACCGGUAGGGAUGACGGUACCCAAAGAAUAAGCACCGGCUAACUUCGUGCCAGCAGCCGCGGUAAUACGAAGGGUGCAAGCGUUACUCGGAAUUACUGGGCGUAAAGCGUGCGUAGGUGGUUGUUUAAGUCUGUCGUGA